Small nucleolar RNA from Ornithorhynchus anatinus (platypus), 138 nucleotides. The record is from RefSeq and is a predicted model, not a curated record. Lineage: Eukaryota; Metazoa; Chordata; Mammalia; Monotremata; Ornithorhynchidae.
CCCCUCUCAGAGUUGCACCUGGAGAGUUUCCAGUACUCUACCAGUUUCAACUAGGGGAGGGAGAGUCCAGCAGAGUCAUACCCAUUCCGUUCCUAGCCUGGUCCGUGGCUAGCGAGUAGAAGGCCAUCUGCUACAAGU